Molecule: non-coding RNA, 127 nt
Filed under: synthetic construct
Source: RNAcentral
GGAGCGAAGUGCCCCUAAGCCUGUCUACCGUUGCCUAUUUAUCUGAACCUCCGACCGAACGAGGUAGGGCUUGGUAGUUGCGCAGGUUGAAUAGGCUUGCCGUUGUACUGGUCGCACCGCAGCAAGC